CCACGAUAGGUCACGAUUUCUGGAAUGGAUCAUGGCUUAAAUCUACAUGGCCCCUGGAUUGGACUGCGGCCGAUCAGGCUGUUGGUGAGGUAAUGGCCCACCAAACCUAUAACCGGUACGGGCUCUGAGAGGAGAAGCCCGGAGAUGGGCACUGAGACAAGGGCCCAGGCCCUAUGGGGCGCAGCAGGCGCGAAACCUCUGCAAUAGGCGAAAGCCUGACAGGGUUACUCUGAGUGAUUUCCGCUAAGGGGAUCUUUUGGCACCUCUAAAAAUGGUGCAGAAUAAGGGGUGGGCAAGUCUGGUGUCAGCCGCCGCGGUAAUACCAGCACCCCGAGUGGUCGGGACGAUUAUUGGGCCUAAAGCAUCCGUAGCUGGUUCUGCAAGUCUUCCGUUAAAUCCAGCCGCUCAACGGAUGGGCCGCGGAGGAUACUACAGGACUAGGAGGCGGGAGAGGCAAGCGGUACUCAGUGGGUAGGGGUAAAAUCCUUUGAUCCAUUGAAGACCACCAGUGGCGAAGGCGGCUUGCCAGAACGCGCUCGACGGUGAGGGAUGAAAGCUGGGGGAGCAAACCGGAUUAGAUACCCGGGUAGUCCCAGCU
This 598-nucleotide ribosomal RNA is filed under the name uncultured Thermoprotei archaeon. RNAcentral describes it as "bacterial SSU rRNA". It matches the Rfam family "Archaeal small subunit ribosomal RNA", at positions 151 to 752 of the family's 1478-position model. The record is from RNAcentral. Lineage: Archaea; Thermoproteati; Thermoproteota; Thermoprotei.